RNAcentral lists this ribosomal RNA (459 nucleotides) under uncultured bacterium. RNAcentral's name for it is "partial 16S ribosomal RNA". It matches the Rfam family "Bacterial small subunit ribosomal RNA", at positions 29 to 523 of the family's 1533-position model. The record is from RNAcentral.
AACGAACGCUGGCGGCAGGCUUAACACAUGCAAGUCGAACGCGAAAUCACCUUCGGGUGGUGGAGAGUGGCAGACGGAUGAGUAACGCGUGGGAACCUACCUAGUGGUACGGAAUAACUCAGGGAAACUUGGGCUAAUACCGUAUGUGCCCGAAAGGGGAAAGAUUCAUCGCCACUAGAUGGGCCCGCGUCGGAUUAGCUUGUUGGUGAGGUAACGGCUCACCAAGGCGACGAUCCGUAGCUGGUCUGAGAGGAUGAUCAGCCACACUGGGACUGAGACACGGCCCAGACUCCUGCGGGAGGCAGCAGUGGGGAAUAUUGGACAAUGGGCGCAAGCCUGAUCCAGCCAUGCCGCGUGAGUGAUGAAGGCCCUAGGGUUGUAAGGCUCUUUCGGCGGGGACGAUAAUGACGGUACCCGCAGAAGAAGCCCCGGCUAACUUCGUGCCAGCAGCCGCCGCCG